GAAGAGUGUGGUAGGUAACGGUCGUCAGCGCAAGGGUCAUUUCGUCGCUGGGAAGGGACGGCCCUCGCCCGCGGUGAUGGUGCCUCAAAGAGUUGCUGAGAGCUAAAUUAAUUGAGUGCGGCUGGAAGGAUCAGUUGAAGGCACACUGUAAAGAGGUAAUUAAAGAAAAAGGACUAGAACACGUUACUGUUGAUGACUUGGUGGCUGAAAUCACUCCAAAAGGCAGAGCCCUGGUACCUGACAGUGUAAAGAAGGAGCUCCUACAGAGAAUCAGAACAUUCCUUGCUCAGCAUGCCAGUCUUUAAGGGGGAAUUAGAAUGUGCUGGUCUGUGGAUUUAUUUCUGAAAGUAAAACUUGCCAUAAUUAGAAAUUGAUUUCCCAAAAUAAAGUCCUUUUUUGUAUGAUGGUAUACAGUUUUCAGUAAUGAUGUAUACAUUGUAUUGAUUUUUUCCCUAAAUGUGUUAUUUUAAUAAAUAUCUCAUGAAUAAGCUUCAAUUUUUUAUUUUAAAAU
RNAcentral lists this long non-coding RNA (511 nucleotides) under Rattus norvegicus (Norway rat). RNAcentral describes it as "long non-coding RNA NONRATT025943". Lineage: Eukaryota; Metazoa; Chordata; Mammalia; Rodentia; Muridae. The record is from RNAcentral.